RNAcentral lists this ribosomal RNA (496 nucleotides) under uncultured bacterium. RNAcentral describes it as "partial 16S ribosomal RNA". It matches the Rfam family "Bacterial small subunit ribosomal RNA", at positions 29 to 507 of the family's 1533-position model. The record is from RNAcentral.
AUGAACGCUGGCGGCGUGCCUAAUACAUGCAAGUCGAGCGAACAGAUGAGGAGCUUGCUCCUCUGACGUUAGCGGCGGACGGGUGAGUAACACGUGGAUAACCUACCUAUAAGACUGGGAUAACUUCGGGAAACCGGCUCUAAUACCGGAUAAUAUAUUGAACCGCAUGGUUCAAUAGUGAAAGACGGUUUUGCUGUCACUUAUAGAUGGAUCCGCGCCGCAUUAGCUAGUUGGUAAGGUAACGGCUUACCAAGGCAACGAUGCGUAGCCGACCUGAGAGGGUGAUCGGCCACACUGGAACUGAGACACGGUCCAGACUCCUACGGGAGGCAGCAGUAGGGAAUCUUCCGCAAUGGGCGAAAGCCUGACGGAGCAACGCCGCGUGAGUGAUGAAGGUCUUCGGAUCGUAAAACUCUGUUAUUAGGGAAGAACAAAUGUGUAAGUAACUAUGCACGUCUUGACGGUACCUAAUCAGAAAGCCACGGCUAACUACGUG